GGUAUGGUAUGUCUGUGUUAACAGGAUGUUGGAGGUGGUAUGUCUGUGUUCUAACAGGAUGUUGGAGGUGGUAUGUCUGUGUGUUGACAGGAUGUUGGAGGUGGUAUGGUAUGUCUGUGUUAACAGGAUGUUGGAGGUGGUAUGUCUGUGUUCUAACAGGAUGUUGGAGGUGGUAUGUCUGUGUGUUGACAGGAUGUUGGAGGUGGUAUGGUAUGUCUGUGUUAACAGGAUGUUGGAGGUGGUAUGUCUGUGUUCUAACAGGAUGUUGGAGGUGGUAUGUCUGUGUGUUGACAGGAUGUAGGAGGUGGUAUGUCUGUGUGUUGACAGGAUGUAGGAGGUGGUAUGUCUGUGUGUUGACAGGAUGUAGGAGGUGGUAUGUCUGUGUGUUGACAGGAUGUAGGAGGUGGUAUGUCUGUGUGUUGACAGGAUGUUGGAGGUGGUAUGUCUGUGUGUUGACAGGAUGUAGGAGG
Long non-coding RNA from Oncorhynchus keta (chum salmon), 470 nucleotides. RefSeq lists it as uncharacterized. The transcript has 4 exons. The record is from RefSeq and is a predicted model, not a curated record. Lineage: Eukaryota; Metazoa; Chordata; Actinopteri; Salmoniformes; Salmonidae.